RNAcentral lists this transfer RNA (72 nucleotides) under Bos taurus (domestic cattle). It matches the Rfam family "tRNA". From Rfam's summary of the family: Transfer RNA (tRNA) molecules are approximately 80 nucleotides in length. Their secondary structure includes four short double-helical elements and three loops (D, anti-codon, and T loops). Lineage: Eukaryota; Metazoa; Chordata; Mammalia; Artiodactyla; Bovidae. RNAcentral also lists the same sequence under 4 other names. The record is from Rfam by way of RNAcentral.
UCCCUGGUGGCUCAGAUGGUAAAGAAUCUGCCUGCGAUGCAGGAGACUCGGGUUCGAUCCCUGGGUUGGGAA